UACGUAGGGGCAAGCGUUGUCCGGAUUUAUUGGGCGUAAAGAGCGUGUAGGCGGUUUGGUAGGUCCGUUGUGAAAACGUCGAGGCUCAACCUCGAGACGCCGAUGGAAACCAUCAGACUAGAGUCCGGAAGAGGAGAGUGGAAUUCCGUGGUGUAGCGGUGAAAUGCGCAGAUAUCAGGAGGAACACCGGUGGCGAAGGCGGUUCUCUGGGCCUGUUCUGACGCUGAGGUGCGAAAGCGUGGGGAG
RNAcentral lists this ribosomal RNA (246 nucleotides) under uncultured bacterium. RNAcentral describes it as "partial 16S ribosomal RNA". It matches the Rfam family "Bacterial small subunit ribosomal RNA", at positions 524 to 768 of the family's 1533-position model. The record is from RNAcentral.